RNAcentral lists this ribosomal RNA (4099 nucleotides) under Triticum aestivum (bread wheat). RNAcentral's name for it is "partial small subunit ribosomal RNA". Lineage: Eukaryota; Viridiplantae; Streptophyta; Magnoliopsida; Poales; Poaceae. The record is from RNAcentral.
UUCGCUGCAGGACAGUCAGAGUGUACGGAUUGUGUAUAAUCGCGGGUUGAGAGUAGUGGUGUCCGUACGGUUCUCCCUCUAUUCGAUUCGUGUUCAUCGAUCGAUCGUCGACGAUCCUCAUCCUCUUUGUAGUUAGUUGUAUCGUAAUUACCUACUGCUUCGGUACUCUCUGUCUCCCCUCCUACGUCUCUUCCCGCUCUCCCUCUCCUUCUGGCUCCCCCGAUCCUUCCACGGGAAGAAGUCGUACAAGUCCAUGCGGUCGGCACGGCUGUACCGCGACUACCGGCAGCCGUGACACCGCCGGUACCAAUUGCCGUACCCGCUGGGCGAGUACUGGCAGCAGAAGCGGCGCCAGUAGCUCACAAAGCCGCGGCCGCUGUUGCAGGAGGUCGCCCAGUCGUUCCAACAAUACAUGAUGUAGAUAAACCCUUAACCCUGUCGCCAUCGAAGUAAAGAGGUCCACAGUACGACCUGUUACUGACCUCUUUCCGUCAGUUAUGCGUAGGCUAGAGAUAUGGAACUUCGACAAGAUUUUGUCCUACAAAGUAAGAAACUACACCUCUACUGUUGACCCCUUCGUUAAAGGUCUUACAGACGCCUGUGACAUGACCAGGUUCUACGGGAACCUCUCUUCCAUCCGUUCAUACGUGUCGAAAACUGUUGGAAACAACCUACAAAAUAGUAGCCUAAGCAUUCUCCGACCUACAAUCGAGAACAAUACGAGCGUACGUAUGGAGGUUUAUAAGACAGAAAACGUUAGUACAGAGCCAAUGCACGAGUUUAUAGUCGGUCCUCCGUCCGUAGCAUGUGACUACGCCCGUUACAGCAGCUUGUCUGGUAACCUCGAUAUUCUUGCCAAUAGAGGAAGUUACCACUCUUCUUUCGUUAGCGUAACAUGUUGUGAGAAUGUUUUUCCCGUAUAUUCCGAUGCCAGAACCUUCCCUAACGGUGACCAGAUCCUUGUCCGCCAUAGAAAAGACAAAAGAAGACGCCAAUGAGAGAUCGGAAAACCCGAUAUCCAUGGCGUAGUGGGAGUUAAAGACGAUAACGUCUUCCCGUUAGACGUCGUAUAUCCAACAAACUCUAUUACUUGUUUCUUGGUUUCUAACUGUAGUGGCUGUGAAGACCUUAUCAUAACCUGCCAUAGUCCCCGCUACAACUUGAGUUGUUACACAAGAAAUCUAUAGGACGUUCCGGACUCGUCAACUAUGAAUUACCCAACAGAGAUGUACAUGGAUCACCAUGAUGUUACCGAUAUCAACCUCUCUCACCUUCACCAUUUAGUUGUUAUUAAUCAAACCACCUCUCUAAGAUGCUGGGUGUUCGACCGCUACACGACUAUCUACCUUAGUUGUAGUUCUCAUACUUUGAGGUCACCUAUUCUCCUUACUAGUCAGAACAAUCGGUUCUUGGUAACGAAAAAUACUGGAGGUAGUUUCUGUUGUAUUGGAUACCAUUUCUCCUACGAUGCGAACUUCUCUAGUUCUCUCGUCGACUCGAACGUUUACGUUGUUUAAAGUAGCUUUUCAACGGAUUACGCAUACUCUGUUACCAACCAGUCUUACCACGAGUUGAAAGACCUCCCGUCUUUGUUUCCUAACGGUAACGUUCUCGCUAGGAAUUUUUAGGUUCUCAGGAAGACGACCUACUUCGAUGAUCACGAAACCUACACCUCAGACUCGCUCAUCAAGUUCUUCGCAAUUUAGCCUAGUACCAUCCCUAUUGAUGUGAGUAACAACGAGUAGCCGACUCAUGUCAGUCUUUACGUCUAACGUAUCGUCACCAAGUAGUUCCUUUCCAUCGACUUGCUCCACAGGUACUACUGGACUAUUUCCUAGGACUACCUCGAAUGAGAGUAGAAUAAGCCGAUGUUGUUCGGGUAUGACUUCUUUGUGGACUCUACGGUAUACACCGUUCAAGUUCUAAGUUUUCAUGUUCAUAUAGAAACCUUGUUAGAUAGUCCCUAAGAGGGUCCUUAUCUUCUGUUGUGAGGUCAUUUAGGGAACCUGACAGAUCUAGCCUACUAAACAAGUCCGUACAACGAUCGUCUCUCCUUGUGGAUCUUUAACCACUAUCACUCCGAGGUUUCUUUCGUGGUUAACCUGCGGACAAAUUAGAAUCGUCCGGUCUUCGUGGUUAAGAGGACAAUCGAUAGUAUCGACGGUGAGACGUACCUGAAGAAAAGGGUAGUAAGUCAUAAUACUACAGACCACCAUAUUCUUGUAAGAUGAUAGGUCGUGUGGUUGAAGCUUUUCUAAGUUGUAAAACCCGUAACUACACGGAAGACUACCGUUAGUAAAGGGACCAAAGUUAGGUUAACCUUAAAAUGAAUAAACCUCAUCGGCCACCCUUUGAAUAUCUUGCACACGCACGAAACAGAAAGGUUUCGUAGUAAGUAGUUCUCCAACGAACCAAACUACUAGGAAGCUUAAGGUCACCGCGUGAACCACGUUCCAACAAAUAACUACGAAACUUGUAGGCUGCGGAACAUCCUCUAUUGAACCGGCAUGAUCACGUCACGUGUCAUUGUGAAUAAACACCGAAACCGUAUCGUAAACGAAGUCUGACCUUCGAAUGUGACUCAUAGUAUCCACAGUAAGGAAAAGACCCAAACGUCUUAAUAUAGGUUAACUCCAAAGACUUUCCCAAGCCACUUCUACGAUUCCACUACAUACUUCUACGUUCAGUUCAACACCGACUUCGUUAACCAUCAUAAGCUUGACAUCGUAGAAAACCACGUCUCUUCUCUCACUAAUGGGAUAUGUCGGUUUUUACGGUCCGAAGUUACUUUGUCCCUUAAUCUUCACCUUACCAGCCUCCACAACCAAAGUCAAAGAGUUUAAAUUACAACAUAGAGUGUAUACGAGAAACAAAGAUACAACCACGUGUCAAACAUGUACUGCCGUUUAGUUGGAAAGUUUUACAAAAGUCUCAAAUGAAACGGAACCAAAAGUGGCGAAAACCUUAAAGGGUUUGUUCACUGUACCGUAGUCUGAGUUGCUUUCCAGCUCUUAGACGCUGUAGGUAUGAUAGUAAGUAUCUGUCCUUCGGGUUUUAACUGAGUUGGUCACUACUUCCAUAUUUCGAUCUUUUUCAACUACCGUGGUAUCUCAAGUUGGUACAUUCCAAGUUCAUGGGUAGGGCUGGUCUACAGGUUUAUAAGUCGCUGAAGUGAAACGCAUAACGAAGGCCUUUCUGAUGACGUGAACAGCCUCUCUCACCUUCACCGUUCAGGUGUCAUUAACGAAACGACCUCGCUAAGAUACUAGGCCUGAGACCGUGUUAGAGUGAUCUGCCUUGUCUUGAAUCUUUCAAUUGUGACUCAACCAAUUCUCUGGUUUACCCUGAUCAUUCGGUUCUUGGUUAUGAGAAGUUACUGUGUUAAGCACGGUUGUAUCGUAUACCUUUCGCUCCUCUUCGUUGACUUCUUCUCUAUUAGUGGUACCGGUUCCGUCGGUUGCGAGUACUCAAGUAUAGCCCGAACGGUGUCCCUAUGUUGUGAUUGCAACCACUCUCUCCUUGUGUUGAUAGACCACCCGUUUUCGUUGCCCAUCGAUAACGGUCCCGCUAGAACUUCCUGGGGUCUUAUGAAGACGAGCUGCUUCGUUGUUCGCGGGACCUGCGACUUAGUCUCGUAUAACAAGUUCUAUGUGACCUGGUUCACUACCAGUCGUCCUGGUGGUAACAGCAUCGUGUGGCGGACAGCUGCUAGUUUCCUCGUCUAUACUAGCGUCAAUAGUUUCUACCAAGUCAACGGCUCUUCCCCUUCGUACUUAGAGAGUACCCGUAGUUCCCACCUCAGAUGCGUAGUGACCAGCUUGAUGUGAGCUUCCGCCGUAUUCCCCUACACGUCUAUAAAUAACAAGGAAAGAACAAAAGGCUUGAUACUCUACGUUUUACGUACACAGUCAAACAUAAUGUUAAGCACGUUACAUUUAACGUGUAUUUAAAGUUCCCGUAAGAGGAUUUAAGAUCAAAAUAAAAUCCGGAUACUGUAGUCUCCGCUCUAACGGGGUCGUACACAAAGCCUGAAAGUCAACAACACCCCAUGGUCUCUAGAUACGUAAUAUAUCAUGUUUUUUCUUUGUGUAAUAAGGUC